RNAcentral lists this ribosomal RNA (460 nucleotides) under uncultured bacterium. RNAcentral describes it as "partial 16S ribosomal RNA". It matches the Rfam family "Bacterial small subunit ribosomal RNA", at positions 338 to 795 of the family's 1533-position model. The record is from RNAcentral.
CCUACGGGAGUCAGCAGUGAGGAAUAUUGGUCAAUGGACGAGAGUCUGAACCAGCCAAGUAGCGUGAAGGAUGACUGCUCUAUGGGUUGUAAACUUCUUUUAUAAAGGAAUAAAACGAGGCACGCGUGCCUGUUUGCAAGUACUUUACGAAUAAGGAUCGGCUAACUCCGUGCCACCAGCCGCGGUAAUACGGAGGAUCCGAGCGUUAUCCGGAUUUAUUGGGUUUAAAGGGAGCGUAGAUGGGUUGAUAAGUCAGUUGUGAAAGUUUGCGGCUCAACCGUGAAAUUGCAAUUGAUACUGGCAGUCUUGAGUACAGUUGAGGUAGGCGGAAUGCAUGGUGUAGCGGUGAAAUGCUUAGAUAUCACACAGAACCCCGAUUGCGAAGGCAGCUUACUAAGCUAUGACUGACAUUGAUGCUCGAAAGUGUGGGUAGCAAACAGGAUUAGAUACCCUUGUAGUC